RNAcentral lists this ribosomal RNA (254 nucleotides) under uncultured bacterium. RNAcentral's name for it is "partial 16S ribosomal RNA". It matches the Rfam family "Bacterial small subunit ribosomal RNA", at positions 524 to 776 of the family's 1533-position model. The record is from RNAcentral.
GACGGAGGGUGCUAGCGUUGUUCGGAAUCACUGGGCGUAAGGGCGCGUAGGCGGCCUUGCAAGUCGGUUGGUGAAAGCCCGGGGCUCAACCCCGGAGGUGCGGCCGAGACUGCAGGGCUGGAGGCCGGAAGAGGAGGGUGGAAUACCCAGUGUAGAGGUGAAAUUCGUAGAUAUUGGGUGGAACACCGGUGGCGAAAGCGGCUCUCUGGUCCGGACCUGACGCUGAGGCGCGAAAGCGUGGGGAGGCAAACAGG